This is a long non-coding RNA of Girardinichthys multiradiatus, 789 nucleotides long. RefSeq lists it as uncharacterized. The transcript has 3 exons. The record is from RefSeq and is a predicted model, not a curated record. NCBI's taxonomy places the organism in Eukaryota, Metazoa, Chordata, Actinopteri, Cyprinodontiformes, Goodeidae.
ACACAUCAUUAGCAUUUCUAGCUAUGUAAGCUAGGUCCGACAUUCCCCAAGAUGGUGAAGCGAUGCGCCUAAGGUUUAUGUAAAUCAGACAGUAGGUAUCCUAAGAGUUUGUCUGGGAGAGUCGUGUUUCUCAUCCCUUCCCAAAGCCGAAAACACAACUGGAGCGGUGCCUACAAUGGAUAAAACGGUGUGGAAGGCCUCACUCCCAGCUGAAUGUCUCGAAAAUUAACAAGCAUACGUACGUCUGCUCAAAGCCUACCCCUGAGUAUCCCAACCCUGUAGUUGCUGUACAUGUGCUGAACCAGACUAGGGAGCAGCUCGGAGCCUGUCGAAAGCCACCCAAACAUCGAGUCCAGGGCAACCCCAACUCCCUGGAUGUCAACUGGAAAGAGAGCCUGAGGAGGAGCAGAUCACUGAGAAGGAGAAGAACUUAGAAGAGGAAAACAACAACAUGAAAUUGACAUUAAAAGAAACUGAAAUAGAAAGCCUUAAGGCACAAAUUGACACACUCAUAAAGAAAAGUCUGACACCUGAACUCCUUGAAAGCAGUAAAAUCCCCAAAAUGCUGGAAUACAGUACAGGCUUUACAUAUAAAUGCUUCAACCAACUGUGCACAAUAUUUGGUAUCCCAAAUGAUCCACAGACUGCUCAAGUAAAAAUACCCCUAACAUACAAACGCAAUGAUUGGAACGUUGCUGAGAUGCCCCUUCGUAGCCAGCUGCUGUUUGUUUCUGUUGACAUGAGCUAUGGAUCGUGCUAUAGAAAUAAAGAUUUCUGGAUACUAUAUGA